RNAcentral lists this long non-coding RNA (713 nucleotides) under Zonotrichia albicollis (white-throated sparrow). RNAcentral describes it as "lncRNA (ENSZALG00000012637.1)". The record is from RNAcentral. Lineage: Eukaryota; Metazoa; Chordata; Aves; Passeriformes; Passerellidae.
CUUAGGUAACACAGGAAACUCAGCACAGGAGCUGAUCCAGGAUGUCUGAUGCCUGAAUCUGUAAUUCCCACUGAGAUCGAACUUCCAGUGACUCCAGAAAAGGACGGCAGCAUGACCAUCCUUUCCUGUUCAGCCAAACACCUUAACUAGAAUUAUUCAAGUUUAAAGCAAAAUUUCAGCAGUAACUGAAAUGCUUGCAGAAUACACGAACAACAGCGCCCUCUGCACCUGAAACCCCUCCGGUUAUUAAACCCAGACGUUCCUACGUGCUGGAGGAGCCUUUAAUUUCAAUUACUGCUUUUUUCAGCUGCUGCAGUAAACAUCACACUGAACCAUGGGGGGGACCUGGUCAUGAGCAAAUCACAAACAGACUGUCUCGACUGGCAGAAAAUCAAGCACCAACAUUUCAUCAGUGGAGGAACUCUUCUCUCCAGAGAUUUCCUCCACCCUUUUGGUCAGUGCAUGAGGAUUGUGCCAGCAGCUGGAGAAACUGGGGACACCAAGAUGGUGAGGAAAGCUUGCUUUACUGAAACUAAAAGGAACUGUUUAAGUACUGCCAAAUACUUAUUGGGAAAAAGAGCAAGACACAGACCAUAAAAUUCUUGCAUCUGUUGACCAUUUAAUCUUUUUUUCUGUAAACAACAUAAUGUAGCACUGUAUAUUAUGAAAGAAAAAAGAAAUAAACUUCUACCAUGCAGCUGUAUGAGAACCCA